Molecule: small RNA, 158 nt
Filed under: Marmota monax (woodchuck)
Lineage: Eukaryota; Metazoa; Chordata; Mammalia; Rodentia; Sciuridae
Source: RNAcentral
UGGAAAAUUCCAUGCAUGGAGAAUCUCUUGUGGUUAUGACAGUUUGCUAAUAUCUUAAUGAGUGAAUUAUGAUAAUUAUGAAAAUCUUAGCUUUACAUUAUUUGUAGUGUGUGUGUGUGUGUGUGUGUGUGUGUGUGUGGUGUGAUAGGCCUCUCCAA